CCUACGGGUGGCAGCAGUGGGGAAUAUUGGACAAUGGGCGCAAGCCUGACCCAGCGACGCCGCGUGAGGGAAGAAGGCUUUCGGGUUGUAAAGUUCUUUUCUUAGGGACGAAAACCAUGGCAGUACCGCAAGCAUAAGCGGCGGCUAACUACGUGCCAGCAGCCGCGGUACUACGUAGGUGGCAAGCGUUAUCCGGAUUUAUUGGGUGUAAAAGGAGUGUAGGCGGGAAAGCAAGUCAGAUGUGAAAACUGAGGGCUCAACCGUGAGCCUGCAUUUGAAACUGUUUGGCUGGAGUGCUGGAGAGGUAAGUGGAAUUCCGUGUGUAGCGGUGAAAUGCGUAGAUAUACGGAGGAACACCAGUGGCGAAGGCGGAUUGCUGGACAGUAACUGACGCUGAGGCGCGAAAGCGUGGGGAGCAAACAGGAUUAGAUACCCCAGUAGUC
This 443-nucleotide ribosomal RNA is filed under the name uncultured bacterium. Its description in RNAcentral is "partial 16S ribosomal RNA". It matches the Rfam family "Bacterial small subunit ribosomal RNA", at positions 338 to 795 of the family's 1533-position model. The record is from RNAcentral.